This is a long non-coding RNA of Antechinus flavipes (yellow-footed antechinus), 614 nucleotides long. RefSeq lists it as uncharacterized. NCBI's taxonomy places the organism in Eukaryota, Metazoa, Chordata, Mammalia, Dasyuromorphia, Dasyuridae. The record is from RefSeq and is a predicted model, not a curated record. The transcript is spliced from 3 exons.
UUUAACAUUCAAAUGUAGUCCAUCGGAGUUUCUCUCUCUGCAGUAAAAUUUAAAUGCUUGGCAGUUCAGCUCGAGAAAGGCCCUCAGUGUCUGGUACCUUAAUUUGCCAGGGGAUCUUCCCAACACAGUUCCAAUGGAAGCGAUUCCAUUUCCAGGCUUGGCAGGUAGACCGGCGGGGGGCAAUGAGAUCGACACAGUAGCUCCAUUGACCUUCAGUUUGGUAGAUAGCUUAAUCCUCUUCUCUCCCACACUUUUCCUUCAGAACCUCCCAACACUGAACCAGCUCUGGCAAAGCAUGUAGCAACAUCAUUAUCAAUGGGUACAUCCCUGGAAAGUAUGUAGCAACAUCAUUAUCAAUGUGUACAUCCUUGGAAAGUACAUUGCCAAGAGAUGAACAAUGAAGGCAUCCUUGAACUCCUGGAUAGAAAAUUUCAGUCACUUUUCAAAUGAGCAAUGGAUCACCCACCCACCCCCAACCAGGUAAAGAAAAGACAGCAUUGGUGAUGAAAAGUUCAUAAGAUGCACAAGAUGACCAUUGCUAUGAUUGUUUCCAACUCCAUUCUUGCCAACAACUCCCUGCCAUGUCUGAUCAUCCAAACCCACUCUACCAUUAA